Molecule: long non-coding RNA, 548 nt
Filed under: Rattus norvegicus (Norway rat)
Lineage: Eukaryota; Metazoa; Chordata; Mammalia; Rodentia; Muridae
Description: long non-coding RNA NONRATT005921
Source: RNAcentral
GGGCGCGCGCGCAGGUCCCCAGCACAUCUGGGUAAGAGCCGAGCCUCUGGAAGCGAGCGGGGCGCCGAGCGCCUGUCUGGAGCGGCAGAGCCACCACGCAGGCGGAGCCCCUUCGAGACGCUCCGGGCGCACAUCUGGGACCGGGAGAAGGGACCGCGCGGCGCGCAGCUGGACGCGGGGAGGGGGCGGCGGCUGCACAGCUGGACCGAAGGGGGCGGGGUCGGUCCCAGCAACUGGCUGAGGGGAGGGCCGCAAGCCACCAGGGACCGAAGCAUGGGACAGCGCGCCUGAAGGAGCAGUCCGGGGCGGAGGGGGCCUGGGACCCCGAAAGGAAAAGAGAGACGGGUGAGAGCAGAGGAGGAAGAUGCAACUGACCCGCUGCUGCUUCGUGUUCCUAGUGCAGGGCAGCCUCUAUCUGGUCAUCAUCAGUCCAGAUGUUGUGGCUGAGCUCCUGUCCCCUCAUGGGUGACAAACACACUGGUCAUCUGCGGCCAAGAGGAUGGGCCCCCUGGCUCAGAGGACCCUGAGCAUGAUGACCAUGAGGGUCA